GCAUUUUUCCUUCAUAAACAUCCAGAGGAUUUCUCUGUUCAAGACAUGGAGGGGACGGUCAGGCACCGAAUGCAGAAAUGGAAAGCAACCACGCUGGGGAAAAAGAAUGUCAGAUCGGAACCGGGGCAGAUCUGAGAACAGUGAUCUCGGGACAGUGCUAUGGCGUUAGCGGCGAGAAGAUGUUGAGAAAGGGACAAAAACUGUGGCUCCUGAGGGUCUCCCUUGUGGGACCCACCAGAGCCCGGCUUAGAGCCUUUGCCAUCAUGUAGCCUAGGGCACUUUCUCUACAUCUUGCAAGCAUUCCG
Molecule: long non-coding RNA, 305 nt
Filed under: Mustela putorius furo (domestic ferret)
Lineage: Eukaryota; Metazoa; Chordata; Mammalia; Carnivora; Mustelidae
Description: lncRNA (ENSMPUG00000031420.1)
Source: RNAcentral